AUUCUAGGUGUAGCGGUGAAAUGCGUAGAUAUCUAGAGGAAUACCAGUGGCGAAGGCGACCCCCUGGACAAAGACUGACACUCAUGUACGAAAGCGUGGGGAGCAAACAGGAUUAGAUACCCUGGUAGUCCAUGCUGUAAACGAUGUCGACUUGGAGGUUGUUUCCUUGAGAAGUGGCUUCCGAAGCUAACGCAUUAAGUCGACCGCCUGGGGAGUACGGCCGCAAGGCUAAAACUCAAAUGAAUUGACGGGGGCCCGCACAAGCGGUGGAGCAUGUGGUUUAAUUCGAUGCAACGCGAAGAACCUUACCUGGUCUUGACAUCCAUAAAAUUUUUUAGAGAUAAAAAAGUGCCUUUACCGGAAUUAUGAGACAGGUGCUGCAUGGCUGUCGUCAGCUCGUGUUGUGAAAUGUUGGGUUAAGUCCCGCAACGAGCGCAACCCUUGUUCUCUGUUGCCAUCAGGUUAUGCUGGGAACUCAGAGGAGACUGCCGGUUAUAAGCUGGAGGAAGGUGGGGACGACGUCAAGUCAUCAUGGCCCUUACGACCAGGGCUACACACGUGCUACAAUGGCAUAUACAAAGAGAAGCAAAUCUGCGAAGACAAGCAAAACUCAUAAAGUAUGUCUUAGUUCGGACUGGAGUCUGCAACUCGACUCCACGGAGUCGGAAUCGCUAGUAAUCGUGGAUCAGAAUGCCACGGUGAAUACGUUCCCGGGCCUUGUACACACCGCCCGUC
RNAcentral lists this ribosomal RNA (735 nucleotides) under uncultured bacterium. Its description in RNAcentral is "bacterial SSU rRNA". It matches the Rfam family "Bacterial small subunit ribosomal RNA", at positions 666 to 1398 of the family's 1533-position model. The record is from RNAcentral.